RNAcentral lists this ribosomal RNA (465 nucleotides) under uncultured bacterium. RNAcentral's name for it is "bacterial SSU rRNA". It matches the Rfam family "Bacterial small subunit ribosomal RNA", at positions 338 to 795 of the family's 1533-position model. The record is from RNAcentral.
CCUACGGGGGGCUGCAGUAGGGAAUUUUUCGCAAUGGACGAAAGUCUGACGGAGCAAUGCCGCGUGAAGGAAGAAGGUUUUCGGAUUGUAAACUUCUGUAGUAGGGGAAGAAAGAUAAUAGUAGGAAAUGGCUAUUAAGUGACGGUACCUUACGAGAAAGGGACGGCUAACUACGUGCCAGCAGCCGCGGUAAUACGUAGGUCCCGAGCGUUAUCCGGAAUUAUUGGGCGUAAAGAGCAUGUAGGCGGUUAUAAAAGUUUGAUGUUAAAGCUAAUGGCUCAACCAUUAAGAUGCAUUGAAAACUGUAUAACUAGAAUACUGGAGAGGCAAGUGGAAUUCCAUGUGUAGCGGUGGAAUGCGUAGAUAUAUGGAGGAACACCAAUGGCGAAGGCAGCUUGCUGGACAGAGAUUGACGCUGAGAUGCGAAAGCGUGGGUAGCAAACAGGAUUAGAUACCCUUGUAGUC